Molecule: small nucleolar RNA, 110 nt
Organism: Phoenix dactylifera (date palm)
Lineage: Eukaryota; Viridiplantae; Streptophyta; Magnoliopsida; Arecales; Arecaceae
Product: small nucleolar RNA snoR100
Source: RefSeq, a predicted model, not a curated record
GGAAGAAGGAAGCAUGGUAAGGUGCACAGAGAUGAAAGAUGGGUCCACAUGUCUGCUCGCUUUGAUGCUCUCGGGCGUUGAUCUAGCGGGCCUGGAUUCGACUCACAUUC